UUGGGCUGUGCGGGGUUAAAUCAAUUAACGGAAGCUAAGCAUGUAGAGCCGAAGGCAGCGAACUGGCGGACGCGGGUUCAACUCCCGCCGCCUCCACCA
Molecule: transfer-messenger RNA, 99 nt
Filed under: Deltaproteobacteria bacterium
Lineage: Bacteria; Pseudomonadati; Myxococcota; Myxococcia
Description: partial transfer-messenger RNA
Rfam family: transfer-messenger RNA
About the family: Bacterial tmRNA, also known as 10Sa RNA or SsrA, is named for its dual tRNA and mRNA-like properties.
Source: RNAcentral